GCUCAAUUAUCAGAGGUGUUAGUCAACUGUUAAAUCUGAGGAUUGAGCAGUCCAAAGGCCAGGGAUGGGCAGGCCCAUCUUCCCUUCCUGCUGCAAAGCCUCUGCUAAGGCUCAGGAGCUGCUCCUUCUCUGCCUGUGAUCUGUGACCUGGUGCUGGGAUUUGGACCUGUUGCCUCCAUCAGACAGGGAACAGUCUCUAAAGUUGGAGAGAAAUUCCCAAUGCAGUAAAGGGUACUAUGGCAGUACAUUCUGGCAACAGGCUGGAAAGGAGCUGCCACGGGAUGUCCACCCACCCUGAGUGGGAACCUCCUCCUGAGGGACACACAGGGGGAAAAAAGCACCUCCUCUGCCUGCUCCAGGUAGCGCUGAUGGUUCUCCGGUACCGCCGCCUUUAUCACGGGCCCUGCACAUUCCUCACCACCAGCACGCAGGGAAGUGGCAAAAUCCGGGCUUGGAGCUUGGUGGUCUCCUCCAACGCCUCUAUUUUCCAUUAAAUGCACACACGGGGGCCUGUGGAGACAUUUCUGAGGAGCCUCGUGUUUGUUAUAACCUCCCCCUGCUUAAGUAAAUAGGUGGGAAAUAGGGAACUUCCCACUGGAACAGCUUCCAUGUAUUAGUUCUGGGUGGUUUAGGAGUCCACCUUCCCCACAGCAGUGCUAUUUGAGGGAGGAGGUGUUAAAACACUCUGAGGUUCAUUAGCCCUCUCUGCUAAUUGCCUAAUUUCAGCAAAGAGGUGAACCCCUUGAAGGUGCUCAGACAAAUUCCCUUCCCCCAGCUCUCACUGCCCAGUGUGUCUCUUCCUGGGGGUGGGAAUGGUGGGUGCUGGGACAACCACUCCAUCUGCUUUUAAAAACUCGGUCUGGGAACACAGAGCCAUGGAAUAGUUUGAGUUGGAAGGGACUUCUUAAAGGUCAUCUCGUCCAACUCCCCUGCAGUGAGCAGCGAUGGCCAAAUUGGGGUAUUCUUACUUUACAUUCCUUGAGGGAGAGAAGAUCCUCUCCCCCUAAAUUGCCCAGGCAAUUUUAGGAAUUAUUACCCAUAGGAGUGCAUGACAUGUCCCUGCAGGUCACCAGGGUGGGCUCCAGGUCUUGAACAGGGUUUUCCACAGGUAUUUUCAGUCUCUGCUGUACAGGCAGACAGAUUGAGGUUGAUAAAUGCCUCCUUUCCAUAGGAGAGGUCGGGUUGGCCUUCUGAGUCCUUCUGGGAAGUUAAUUCAUGUUUAAGUAAAGAGAGAGGGGCUGUGCAAGGGAGAAAUUCCUACCUGACCUCCCCCCCCCCCAGUUCAGCUCAUACAGGAAUCACAGGUUUUAAUUAACCUUUUCUGAGAAUAGGACUUCAUAUGUAACUACAUAUGUAAUGAGAGGUUACAAGAUCUUUAAUGGAUGGAAGGACUUUACCUAUCAGUCCCUGAUGGAGUGGCACCAGAGGUAUUAUGGUGGGAUAAUUACUUUCCAUCCCCACGUGAGUGAUGUUAAGUUGCCCUGAUGGGAGGUGUUUCCAUGUGUGUGGGGGGGGGUGGAAUUAAUUUCCUUUAUGGUAAUAUUAACUUAAUGGGUGCUGAGAGAAAGUAAACAAGAUGCAACACAGCAGAGUUAUAGAGGAAAAAACCCCAAGAUUGCAUUUGAAAGUCAAUGGGCUUUGCUGUUUUCUGUAAGGACCUUGUCUUCUAUCUGGAGCUUUGUCUUCCCAAAUCAGGGAGGUCAGACCCCUGUGAAAGGCUUUGGGGUGGAUGGAGGGGAAGGAUUUGCCCCACCAGAUCCAUUGAGGCUGCAGCUGCUGCCUGAGGAGGGUCUGUCCCUGCAGGAACCAGCCCGGGGUGGGGGUCACUUGUUUUCUUGAUUUUAUUUUAUUUCAUUUUUUUAAGAUAGAUUUUCUUUUGUGUGCUUUUACACCAUAAAGAAUCCACGAAGACUUUCAAGAACUGCUUUACUUGGUCAGAGUUUAACCUCAUCAGGAGGUGAAGCUCAGGGGCUUUGGAUGGAACAUCCCAACAGCUGAUUUAUGGAAUCUUCAGCCCAAAAAUGGCUCCUGUGCUUUGUGUCCCUUUUGCCCCCAUUCCUGUUAACUCCCAGGACUCCUUCCUUUCUCUGAGCAGCCCCUGGUAAGUGCUGGAGGGACAAAACCAGCAGCUCCAGCUGCCGACACUGGACUGUAGCUCCACUGGCACUGGAAAAGCCAAAACAUGAAUGGAAUACGUUUGUUUUUUUUAAACAGAAGUUGAUAAAUUAUUAAUUGCAAGAGGAGAUCCCAACUAAGCCCCGGGGGAGACUCCAGGACAAGCUGAGAAGGGGGACCAGAGCCCAAGCCCAGCUGGAAAUGCAUUUUGGGAAUGUGCAGGUUAAAUUAGGUGCCUGGGCCACCAAAGUCAUGCUGGUACUUAUACAGAGUAUUCAGAACAUUAAAAAAUUGCACGAGUGUUAUUUAUGUCCUUAAACUUUCUGGAUUUGCUUUGGGUUUACUUUUUUAGUUUGUUUUUUUUUUUUCCUAAAUAAAGUUAAAAUCAAAUCAAAGCUUACCA
This 2518-nucleotide long non-coding RNA is filed under the name Lepidothrix coronata (blue-crowned manakin). Its description in RNAcentral is "lncRNA (ENSLCOG00000002715.1)". Lineage: Eukaryota; Metazoa; Chordata; Aves; Passeriformes; Pipridae. The record is from RNAcentral.